Molecule: long non-coding RNA, 204 nt
Filed under: Elaeis guineensis (African oil palm)
Lineage: Eukaryota; Viridiplantae; Streptophyta; Magnoliopsida; Arecales; Arecaceae
Description: long non-coding RNA (EGUI_LNC056624)
Source: RNAcentral
CUUAAGGGCAUGAAAAGAAGAGAGAAAGGUUCUCUCUUAUGCGUGGAAAAUUGAGAAGAAAGGGUUAUUCUCUUGAUCUCUAUUGUAGAGAUCAGAUGUAUGGAUCCAGAAAGAAAAAAAGAGGAUCUCCUUAUUCUUCAUCUUCAUCAUAUUUUUUUUAGAUCAGUCAAAAGAUGGUGUUUUUAUGAGCUAGCACUCUCGAGG